Molecule: non-coding RNA, 29 nt
Filed under: Mus musculus (house mouse)
Lineage: Eukaryota; Metazoa; Chordata; Mammalia; Rodentia; Muridae
Source: RNAcentral
UGGGAAAUGACAUCAGCCCCGAGGUGUUG